This is a long non-coding RNA of Xiphophorus couchianus (Monterrey platyfish), 335 nucleotides long. RefSeq lists it as uncharacterized. The transcript has 3 exons. Lineage: Eukaryota; Metazoa; Chordata; Actinopteri; Cyprinodontiformes; Poeciliidae. The record is from RefSeq and is a predicted model, not a curated record.
CCUCCCGCCACCCUUCCCUCCUCUGACAGUCCCAACGGACGGCGACGUUCCUCGUAUUCACAAAUCCAAAACUUGACAGGGAGGCUGUCCUAAUGUAUGACCAUUGUGUAGAGGUCACUGUUGAUGUCCGAGUCAUGCAGAGGAAGCUCGUCAUGCGGAGUGCCGUGUGCUUCAGGGAGCAAUCACCGGCCUCCAGCUUUCCCUAUCAACAUUCUCCGCUGCCCUCAGGCCAACAAGCCAGAUUUUUCAUGUCAGCUGGCAUGCAUCUUCAGCUCGAAGAAGAAUAGCUGCUGCAGAUGUUAAUGGGGAUCUCAAUAAAAGUAACUAAACAUAAA